RNAcentral lists this ribosomal RNA (497 nucleotides) under uncultured bacterium. Its description in RNAcentral is "partial 16S ribosomal RNA". It matches the Rfam family "Bacterial small subunit ribosomal RNA", at positions 28 to 507 of the family's 1533-position model. The record is from RNAcentral.
GACGAACGCUGGCGGCGUGCCUAAUACAUGCAAGUUGAGCGCUGAAGGUUGGUACUUGUACCAACUGGAUGAGCAGCGCACGGGUGAGUAACGCGUGGGGAAUCUGCCUUUGAGCGGGGGACAACAUUUGGAAACGAAUGCUAAUACCGCAUAAAAACUUUAAACACAAGUUUUAAGUUUGAAAGAUGCAAUUGCAUCACUCAAAGAUGAUUCCGCGUCGUAUUAGCUAGUUGGUGAGGUAAAGGCUCACCAAGGCGAUGAUACAUAGCCGACCUGAGAGGGUGGUCGGCCACAUUGAGACGGUGACACGGCCCAAACUCCUACAGGAAGCAGCAGUAGGGAGUCUUCGGCCAUGGACGGAAGUCUGACCGAGCAACGCCGCGUGAGUGAGGAAGGUUUUCGGAUCGUAAAACUCUGUUGGUAGGGAAGAACGUUGGUGAGAGUGGAAAGCUCAUCGAGUGACGGUAACUACCCAGAAAGGGACGGCUAACUACGUG